GAUGAACGCUGGCGGUGUGCUUAACAUAUGCAAGUCGAACGGAAAGGCUCCUGCUUGCAGGGGUACUCGAGUGGCGAACGGGUGAGUAACACGUGGGUGAUCUGCCCUGCAUUUCGGGAUAAGCCUGGGAAACUGGGUCUAAUACCGGAUAGGACGAUGGUUUGGAUGCCAUUGUGGAAAGCUUUUCGGUGUGGGAUGAUCUCGCGGCCUAUUUGCUUGUUGGUGGGGUAAUGUCCUACCAAGGCGUCGACGGGUAGCCGGCCUGAGAGGGUGUACGGCCACAUUAGGGAUGAGAUACGGCCCAGGCUCCUACGGGAGGCAGCAGUGGGGAAUAUUGCACAAUGGGCGCAAGCCUGAUGCAGCGACGCCGCGUGGGGGAUGACGGCCUUCGGGUUGUAAACUCCUUUCGCUAGGGACGAAGCGCAAGUGACGGUACCUGGAGAAGAAGCACCGGCUAGCUACGUG
RNAcentral lists this ribosomal RNA (465 nucleotides) under uncultured bacterium. RNAcentral's name for it is "partial 16S ribosomal RNA". It matches the Rfam family "Bacterial small subunit ribosomal RNA", at positions 28 to 507 of the family's 1533-position model. The record is from RNAcentral.